GUGGAUUCAGUGCAACGGAUCAAACUUUUCUUGUGCAAAUGCAACAGGACUGAACUGUACUACUGUUUCACACUGUUUUUGUAACAUCACCAAUACAACUUCAUCUAUUGCUUCAAGUACUCCAGUUCUCUCAACAAUCAGUACACCAGGUACAACACAUGCUACUGAG
Molecule: non-coding RNA, 169 nt
Organism: Chelonoidis abingdonii (Abingdon island giant tortoise)
Lineage: Eukaryota; Metazoa; Chordata; Testudines; Testudinidae
Source: RefSeq, a predicted model, not a curated record